RNAcentral lists this ribosomal RNA (918 nucleotides) under uncultured bacterium. RNAcentral's name for it is "bacterial SSU rRNA". It matches the Rfam family "Bacterial small subunit ribosomal RNA", at positions 8 to 916 of the family's 1533-position model. The record is from RNAcentral.
AGAGUUUGAUCAUGGCUCAGGACGAACGCUGGCGGUGUGCUUAAGACAUGCAAGUCGUGCGGACCGUAGCAAUACGGUCAGCGGCGGACGGGUGAGUAACACGUGGAUAACCUGCCUGGCUCCCCGGGAUAACAGGCCGAAAGGCCUGCUAAUACCGGGUAAGCUCACGGGGCCGCAUGGUCCUGGGAGAAAAGCUCCUGCAAGGGAGUGGGGUCAGAGGGGUCCGCGGCCCAUUAGCUAGUUGGGGGGGUAACGGCCCACCAAGGCGACGAUGGGUAGCCGGCCUGAGAGGGCGACCGGCCACACUGGGACUGAGACACGGCCCAGACUCCUACGGGAGGCAGCAGUCGGGAAUUUUGGGCAAUGGCCGAAAGGGCUGACCCAGCAACACCGCGUGAGUGAAGAAGGCCUUCGGGUUGUAAAGCUCUGUUGCCCGUGAAGAACGGUGCUUUCAGGAAAUGGGAAGCACUUGACGGUAGCGGGUGAGGAAGCUCCGGCUAACUACGUGCCAGCAGCCGCGGUAAUACGUAGGGAGCGAGCGUUGUCCGGAUUUAUUGGGCGUAAAGGGCGUGUAGGCGGCUUUUUAAGUCUGAAGUGAAACGCCAGGGCUCAACCCUGGAACUGCUUCGGAUACUGGGAAGCUUGAGUACUCUAGAGGGCAGUGGAAUUCCGGGUGUAGCAGUGAAAUGCGUAGAGAUCCGGAGGAACACCAGUGGCGAAGGCGACUGCCUGGGGAGAAACUGACGCUGAGGCGCGAAAGUUGGGGGAGCAAACGGGAUUAGAUACCCCGGUAGUCCCAGCCGUAAACGAUGAGUGCUAGGUGUAGGGGGUAUCGACCCCCCCUGUGCCGGAGUUAACGCAAUAAGCACUCCGCCUGGGGAGUACGGCCGCAAGGUUGAAACUCAAAUGAAUUGACGG